RNAcentral lists this transfer RNA (69 nucleotides) under Salamandra lanzai (Lanza's fire salamander). RNAcentral's name for it is "tRNA-Gly". It matches the Rfam family "tRNA". Rfam says of the family: Transfer RNA (tRNA) molecules are approximately 80 nucleotides in length. Their secondary structure includes four short double-helical elements and three loops (D, anti-codon, and T loops). The record is from RNAcentral. Lineage: Eukaryota; Metazoa; Chordata; Amphibia; Caudata; Salamandridae.
GUCUUUUUAGUAUAAUUAGUAUAAAUGAUUUCCAAUCAUUUGAUCUUGGUUAAAACCUAAGAAAAGACA